ACUCCUACGGGAGGCAGCAGUGGGGAAUCUUAGACAAUGGGCGCAAGCCUGAUCUAGCCAUGCCGCGUGAGUGACGAAGGCCCUAGGGUCGUAAAGCUCUUUCAACGGUGAAGAUAAUGACGGUAGCCGUAGAAGAAACCCCGGCUAACUCCGUGCCAGCAGCCGCGGUAAUACGGAGGGGGUUAGCGUUGUUCGGAAUUACUGGGCGUAAAGCGCGCGUAGGCGGAUUGGAAAGUUGGGGUGAAAUCCCGCGGCUCAACCCCGGAACUGCCUUCAAAACUACCAGUCUAGAGUUCGAGAGAGGUGAGUGGAAUUCCGAGUGUAGAGGUGAAAUUCGUAGAUAUUCGGAGGAACACCAGUGGCGAAGGCGGCUCACUGGCUCGAUACUGACGCUGAGGUGCGAAAGUGUGGGGAGCAAACAGGAUUAGAUACCCUGGUAGGCUCUGC
This 447-nucleotide ribosomal RNA is filed under the name uncultured bacterium. Its description in RNAcentral is "bacterial SSU rRNA". It matches the Rfam family "Bacterial small subunit ribosomal RNA", at positions 335 to 800 of the family's 1533-position model. The record is from RNAcentral.